This 485-nucleotide ribosomal RNA is filed under the name uncultured bacterium. RNAcentral's name for it is "bacterial SSU rRNA". It matches the Rfam family "Bacterial small subunit ribosomal RNA", at positions 775 to 1253 of the family's 1533-position model. The record is from RNAcentral.
AGAUAAUAGAUACCCCGGUAGUCCACGCCGUAAACGAUGGGUGCUAGAUGUUUCUGGUAUUGACCCCGGAGGCGUCGUAGCUAAACGCGUUAAGCACCCCGCCUGGGAAGUACGGCCGCAAGGCUAAAACUCAAAGGAAUUGACGGGGGCCCGCACAAGCGGUGGAGCAUGUGGUUCAAUUCGACGCAACGCGCAGAACCUUACCUGGGUUGGAACCCCCUAGAAGUCCCUAGAGAUGGGGAUGUGCUCGCAAGAGAACUAGGUGUCCAGGUGCUGCAUGGCUGUCGUCAAGCUCGUGUCGUGAGAUGUUGGGUUAAAUCCCGCAACGAGCGCAACCCUUGUCGUUAGUUGCUAACAGUUCGGCUGAGCACUCUAACGAGACUGCCGGUGUUAAACCGGNGAAGGUGGGAUGACGUCAAGUCCUCAUGGCCCUUAUGCCCAGGGCUACGACACGUGCUACAAUGGGCGGUACAAAGCGUUGCUAA